CCUGCAGCCGCGGAUGCAACCUGUGGAAGAGGCGGGAGGAGGCCCGGGAGUCCGCCCCGCUGCGCCUUUCCUAGGGUGGGAGCGUGGACUCAGGCGCGGCCGCUGCUGCCACCUAGUGGGAGACGCCUGCUACUCCUCUCGGUUCCUAACCCCAGGGUCGUUCCCGGCUGAGCACUAAGGAGGGGGCGGGGGAGGACGGAGAGAGCCCUGUGCCCCUGGAUCUGCGGAUAGGAUGCAAGGGGGAGCCUCAGAGAGGAACCCCCCCCCCAGGAAGUGUGCAUUGCCCACACUACUUUUCCCCUCUGUGCCGUGAUUUCCUCCCGUGUAUAAGGGAGGCAAGAGUACCUGCCUCUGGGCUGGGCUUGGUGGCUCACGCCUGUAAUCCCAACACUUU
RNAcentral lists this long non-coding RNA (394 nucleotides) under Homo sapiens (human). RNAcentral's name for it is "non-protein coding lnc-C16orf92-1:1". The record is from RNAcentral. Lineage: Eukaryota; Metazoa; Chordata; Mammalia; Primates; Hominidae.